GGUUAAGCGACUAAGCGUACACGGUGGAUGCCCUGGCAGUCAGAGGCGAUGAAGGACGUGCUAAUCUGCGAAAAGCGUCGGUAAGGUGAUAUGAACCGUUAUAACCGGCGAUGUCCGAAUGGGGAAACCCAGUGCAAUUCGUUGCACUAUCGUUAACUGAAUACAUAGGUUAACGAGGCGAACCGGGGGAACUGAAACAUCUAAGUACCCCGAGGAAAAGAAAUCAACCGAGAUUCCCCCAGUAGCGGCGAGCGAACGGGGAGCAGCCCAGAGUCUGAAUCAGCUUGUGUGUUAGUGGAACGGUCUGGAAAGUCCGACGGUACAGGGUGAUAGUCCCGUACACCAAAAUGCACAGGUUGUGAACUCGAAGAGUAGGGCGGGACACGUGGUAUCCUGUCUGAAUAUGGGGGGACCAUCCUCCAAGGCUAAAUACUCCUGACUGACCGAUAGUGAACCAGUACCGUGAGGGAAAGGCGAAAAGAACCCCGGCGAGGGGAGUGAAAAAGAACCUGAAACCGUGUACGUACAAGCAGUGGGAGCACCUUCGGGUGUGACUGCGUACCUUUUGUAUAAUGGGUCAGCGACUUAUAUUCUGUAGCAAGGUUAACCGUAUAGGGGAGCCGCAGGGAAACCGAGUCUUAACUGGGCGUUAAGUUGCAGGGUAUAGACCCGAAACCCGGUGAUCUAGCCAUGGGCAGGUUGAAGGUUGGGUAACACUAACUGGAGGACCGAACCGACUAAUGUUGAAAAAUUAGCGGAUGACUUGUGGCUGGGGGUGAAAGGCCAAUCAAACCGGGAGAUAGCUGGUUCUCCCCGAAAGCUAUUUAGGUAGCGCCUCGUGAACUCAUCUUCGGGGGUAGAGCACUGUUUCGGCUAGGGGGUCAUCCCGACUUACCAACCCGAUGCAAACUACGAAUACCGAAGAAUGUUAUCACGGGAGACACACGGCGGGUGCUAACGUCCGUCGUGAAGAGGGAAACAACCCAGACCGCCAGCUAAGGUCCCAAAGUCAUGGUUAAGUGGGAAACGAUGUGGGAAGGCACAGACAGCCAGGAUGUUGGCUUAGAAGCAGCCAUCAUUUAAAGAAAGCGUAAUAGCUCACUGGUCGAGUCGGCCUGCGCGGAAGAUGUAACGGGGCUAAACCAUGCACCGAAGCUGCGGCAGCGACACUAUGUGUUGUUGGGUAGGGGAGCGUUCUGUAAGCCUGCGAAGGUGACCUGUGAGGGUUGCUGGAGGUAUCAGAAGUGCGAAUGCUGACAUAAGUAACGAUAAAGCGGGUGAAAAGCCCGCUCGCCGGAAGACCAAGGGUUCCUGUCCAACGUUAAUCGGGGCAGGGUGAGUCGACCCCUAAGGCGAGGCCGAAAGGCGUAGUCGAUGGGAAACAGGUUAAUAUUCCUGUACUUGGUGUUACUGCGAAGGGGGGACGGAGAAGGCUAUGUUAGCCGGGCGACGGUUGUCCCG
Molecule: ribosomal RNA, 1461 nt
Filed under: Klebsiella pneumoniae
Lineage: Bacteria; Pseudomonadati; Pseudomonadota; Gammaproteobacteria; Enterobacterales; Enterobacteriaceae
Description: partial 23S ribosomal RNA
Rfam family: Bacterial large subunit ribosomal RNA
Source: RNAcentral